Molecule: ribosomal RNA, 133 nt
Filed under: Lactobacillus sp. GL1
Lineage: Bacteria; Bacillati; Bacillota; Bacilli; Lactobacillales; Lactobacillaceae
Description: partial 16S ribosomal RNA
Rfam family: Bacterial small subunit ribosomal RNA
Source: RNAcentral
GCGUAAAGCGAGCGCAGAGCGGUUUUUUAAGUCUGAUGUGAAAGCCUUCGGCUCAACCGAAGAAUUGCAUCGGAAACUGGGAAACUUGAGUGCAGAAGAGGACAGUGGAACUCCAUGUGUAGCGGUGAAAUGC